This is a non-coding RNA of Bactrocera oleae (olive fruit fly), 810 nucleotides long. NCBI's taxonomy places the organism in Eukaryota, Metazoa, Arthropoda, Insecta, Diptera, Tephritidae. The record is from RefSeq and is a predicted model, not a curated record.
AUUUUUUCACAAUAAAGUCUUAAUUUUCGUUAAAAAAAAACCGCACGAAUUAAUGCAUACACCAAUACUUGUAAAAGUAGCAACAAAGUUCUCUAGUUGAAUUCAAUAUAAGAGAUUAUGUGGGUACCGGAAUAAGUGGUAUAACUGCAUAGAUCGCAUGGCAUUAUUAGCGAUUUUACAUAUGCUAGUUCUUUGUUCGAUUCGCCAUCAAACACCUUUUGGUGAAAGAGAGCCAAUUUAUAGUUAUAAAUUAUGCUAGCUUAUAACCCGUCUAUGGGUUCAUAAACAGAACAUCGUAUUAUCGCCGAGGAUCAAUUAUACGCUGUAGAAACGAUAUAGACGUUCCAUCGUAAAAUGGUGAAAGGGGGAAGUGGCUAGCUUGAAAAUAACUUAUUAGGAACUUUUUUACUUAUGAAAUUACACUGAAAACUCUUACCAAUUUCGGUAACUAAAACUUAGCUUAACGCAACAAAAGAGCCAUACGCAUCUUAUGAUAUGAUCUUUCAUAAUCUGGACAAACUGUCAUUCCUGUAUUAUUUUCACAGGAUCUGCACAUUGUAGAAUUUACUCUUCAGUGGCAAUCAUAAGUUUAAACGGUUCCGAUUUAUAUACCACCAAGGCCUAUCAGUUCUGCGAUAAACCGUUCUCACGACAGUCGGAUCUACGUAACCGGAACGGACCCGGAUUUCUGUCACUACAACAACAACAGUUCUGCAAUAAAUUUCAAAAAACUUUAAAUCCCAACUCAAUUACCAUAUUUUACUAGAGAAUUUUCUAAAAUAAAGAGACCGUUUGGUAUUUGGUUCUAUA